CCCUUAGAUGUCCUGGGCCGCACGCGCGCUACACUGAACGGAUCAGCGCGUUUUCCCUUCCCGAGAGGGACGGGUAACCUGCUGAACCCCGUUCGUGGUAGGGAUCGGGGCUUGCAAUUAUUCCCCGUGAACCAGGAAUGCCCAGUAAGUGCAAGUCAUAAGCUUGCGUUGAUUACGUCCCUGCCCUUUGUACACACCGCCCGUCGCACCUACCGAUUGAAUGGUCCGGUGAAGCCUCCGGAUUGGCGCGCACCUCGGUGCCGCCGAGAAGUUGGCUAAACCUUACCAUUUAGAGGAAGGUGAAGUCGUAACA
This 313-nucleotide ribosomal RNA is filed under the name uncultured eukaryote. RNAcentral describes it as "partial 18S ribosomal RNA". It matches the Rfam family "Eukaryotic small subunit ribosomal RNA", at positions 1470 to 1796 of the family's 1831-position model. The record is from RNAcentral.